Molecule: ribosomal RNA, 433 nt
Filed under: uncultured bacterium
Lineage: Bacteria
Description: partial 16S ribosomal RNA
Rfam family: Bacterial small subunit ribosomal RNA
Source: RNAcentral
AGCGAACGCUGGCGGCAGGCCUAACACAUGCAAGUCGAACGAACUCUUCGGUGUUAGUGGCGGACGGGUGAGUAACACGUGGGAACGUGCCUUUAGGUUCGGAAUAACUCAGGGAAACUUGUGCUAAUACCGAAUGUGCCCUUCGGGGGAAAGAUUUAUCGCCUUUAGAGCGGCCCGCGUCUGAUUAGCUAGUUGGUGAGGUAAAGGCACACCAAGGCGACGAUCAGUAGCUGGUCUGAGAGGAUGAUCAGCCACAUUGGGACUGAGACACGGCCCAAACUCCUACGGGAGGCAGCAGUGGGGAAUCUUGCGCAAUGGGCGAAAGCCUGACGCAGCCAUGCCGCGUGAAUGAUGAAGGUCUUAGGAUUGUAAAAUUCUUUCACCGGGGACGAUAAUGACGGUACCCGGAGAAGAAGCCCCGGCUAACUUCGUG